This 465-nucleotide ribosomal RNA is filed under the name uncultured bacterium. Its description in RNAcentral is "partial 16S ribosomal RNA". It matches the Rfam family "Bacterial small subunit ribosomal RNA", at positions 28 to 507 of the family's 1533-position model. The record is from RNAcentral.
GACGAACGCUGGCGGCGUGCUUAACACAUGCAAGUCGAACGGAAAGGCCCUGCUUGCCGGGUACUCGAGUGGCGAACGGGUGAGUAACACGUGGGUGAUCUGCCCUGCACUUCGGGAUAAGCCUGGGAAACUGGGUCUAAUACCGGCUAGGAGCCAUUUUUAGUGUGAUGGUUGGAAAGUUUUUUCGGUGUAGGAUGAGCUCGCGGGCUAUCGGCUUGUUGGUGGGGUAAUGGCCUACCAAGGCGGCGACGGGUAGCCGGCCUGAGGGGGUGGACGGCCACAUUGGGACUGAGGUACGGCCCAGACUCCGACUGGAGGCAGCAGUGGGGAAUAUUGCACAAUGGGCGCAAGCCUGAUGCAGCGACGCCGCGUGGGGGAUGACGGCCUUCGGGUUGUAAACUCCUUUCACUAGGGACGAAGCUUUUUGUGACGGUACCUAGAUAAGAAGCACCGGCUAACUACGUG